GUCCAGCUGACGAGUCCUGAAUAGGACGAAACGCGCGUCCUGGAU
Molecule: non-coding RNA, 45 nt
Filed under: Schistosoma mansoni
Lineage: Eukaryota; Metazoa; Platyhelminthes; Trematoda; Strigeidida; Schistosomatidae
Source: RNAcentral